UAAAGAAUUUCGGUCAUCGAUGGGGAUGCGUUCCAUUAGCUUGUUGGCGGGGUAACGGCCCACCAAGGCAUCGAUGGAUAGGGGUUCUGAGAGGAAGGUCCCCCACAUUGGAACUGAGACACGGUCCAAACUCCUACGGGAGGCAGCAGUGAGGAAUAUUGGUCAAUGGGCGCUAGCCUGAACCAGCCAAGUAGCGUGAAGGAUGACUGCCCUAUGGGUUGUAAACUUCUUUUAUAUGGGAAUAAAGUGCAGUAUGUAUACUGCUUUGCAUGUACCUUAUGAAUAAGGAUCGGCUAACUCCGUGCCAGCAGCCGCGGUAAUACGGAGGAUCCGAGCGUUAUCCGGAUUUAUUGGGUUUAAAGGGAGCGUAGGCGGGUUGUUAAGUCAGUUGUGAAAGUUUGCGGCUCAACCGUAAAAUUGCAGUUGAUACUGGCAUCCUUGAGUACAGUAGAGGUAGGCGGAAUUCGUGGUGUAGCGGUGAAAUGCUUAGAUAUCACGAAGAACUCCGAUUGCGAAGGCAGCCUGCUGGACUGUAACUGACGCUGAUGCUCGAAAGUGUGGGUAUCAAACAGGAUUAGAUACCCUGGUAG
This 590-nucleotide ribosomal RNA is filed under the name uncultured bacterium. RNAcentral describes it as "bacterial SSU rRNA". It matches the Rfam family "Bacterial small subunit ribosomal RNA", at positions 202 to 793 of the family's 1533-position model. The record is from RNAcentral.